AGAAUCAACGCUGGCGGCGUGCCUAACACAUGCAAGUCGAACGAGAAAGUGGAGCAAUCCAUGAGUAAAGUGGCGCACGGGUGAGUAACACGUGACUAACCUACCCUUGAGUGGGGGAUAACCUAGGGAAACCUGGGCUAAUACCGCAUAAUACCUUCGGGUCAAAGGAGCAAUUCGCUUAAGCGAGGGGGUCGCGGCCGAUUAGUUAGUUGGCGGGGUAAUGGCCCACCAAGACGAUGAUCGGUAUCCGGCCUGAGAGGGCGCACGGACACACUGGAACUGAAACACGGUCCAGACUCCUACGGGAGGCAGCAGUGGGGAAUUUUGCGCAAUGGGGGAAACCCUGACGCAGCAACGCCGCGUGGAGGAUGAAGUCCCUUGGGACGUAAACUCCUUUCGAUCGGACGAUUAUGACGGUACCGGAAGAAGAAGCCCCGGCUAACUUCGCGCCAGCAGCCGC
RNAcentral lists this ribosomal RNA (460 nucleotides) under uncultured bacterium. RNAcentral's name for it is "SSU rRNA". It matches the Rfam family "Bacterial small subunit ribosomal RNA", at positions 26 to 518 of the family's 1533-position model. The record is from RNAcentral.